This 8617-nucleotide long non-coding RNA is filed under the name Fragaria vesca (wild strawberry). Its description in RNAcentral is "long non-coding RNA (FVES_LNC001167)". Lineage: Eukaryota; Viridiplantae; Streptophyta; Magnoliopsida; Rosales; Rosaceae. The record is from RNAcentral.
UAAAUUCUAAGCAUAUGCAUUCAACUCUUGAACUAGCAUGUAGGAAUGUUAACUAAAAUUGCAUCAAAUCAUAAUAUAACAUCAAUCCAUACAAGAUUGGUUAGUGUUUUCAACCCUAACCCCAACAAAGUACUACUCACUCAUAAUUACAUAAACAAACUUCAUAAUCAAAUUAAACAUCAAAAUAGAUCUAGAGUUUAAGAGAGAGAGAGUUGGCUUAGUGGUGUGUUGAUUGAUCCCCAAGCUCACGUCUUGGUGGUACGUGGUGGUGAUGAAGGUGAUUUCCUCUCCUUCUUGCUCAUGUUGUUUGAUGACAAGAGAUGGUGAAGCUUGAUCUAUGCUUUGUGUGAAUAGGUGGAGUGGAUGGAGAAAAUGGUAUAGAUAAGAGAAUGGAGAAAUGGUGUAGUGGUGGUGGUGUUAAUGGAGGUUUGGGUAAGAGAUGGUGGUAGUGAUGGAGGAGAUAGAGUAGAUUGGGGGAGGAAGAGGAAAAAGAUGGGUUUGGAUUUUGGGAGAGGGAGAUGGAGGUUUUGUGGUGGAAAAGAGAGAAAAAGGUAGAGAGUGGUGAAUGGGUGGAUGAUGAAUGUUGUAGUGGAUAGAUGUAUGUUUAUUAUAUAGAAGAAAGAUAAGUGAAAAUGGGGGAAUGAGAAAGUCAAAACAGCCCCCUUCCCUAAUUCAACUGUAAGGGAGAAGGAAGAGUGUGAGAGUGUCCAUGAAUUGCCAAAAAAAAGAUAAAAAUGUAGGGAAAUAAUCGCAUAGGUUAGAGUAGGCAAUGAUGAUGUUUAAAGCAUGGUGAUGUCUAUUAUCCAAAGAGUAAUAGAAUGAAUUUCAUGUUGUUACUCAAUCACCAUUAAUCUCCUUGCUCCUCCUUUAUGGUGACUGGAAAAGACAUGACACCACCAAAAGAGGUGGUGAGCCGUCAUUUGUGCAGUCAAUAGUGGUGGUUCGCCGGAAUCCGAAAAUCUACGUUUUGCUUCACAUUGGACCGUCAUUUUUCCUAGCUCCGAUUCUCCAUGUUAAUGCCAAAAAUGCAUAUUUUCAUCACUCUUGCAAUAUUCCUAGAUAAAUAGAAAAUGAUUUAGUGAAAGAAAAAAUGAACUCAAAAACAAGGCAAAUUCAAUAUUUAGGGGAAUGAAAAUGUGUGUAAAUUAUGGUCUAACACAUACCCAAUGGACUAAUCGAGAUCACAUCACAGGGACCAAUUGCCACUAAUCUUUUCAAAUCUUUCAUGUACUCUCAUUUCGAUGGGAUCAAAUGGUAGCCUUAUCACAAGUAAUUGUUAUCAUGUAACAAUAAUUAAGAGACUGAAGAAAGAAUAAACCCCUCAGAAUUCAGGGCAGGACAGCAUGAAACCUUAGUCAAAAAUGGUUCCUCAACCUCAAGAAAAGAGGGAGCACCAAUAUUUUGACAUGAGUUUUCACGCAUAUCUCGCUCAGAUUCUUACUGGUUUCUUCUUCAUCAUAUUUAAAGGACUAAUCGAGAUCAAAUCACAGGGACCAAUUGCCACUAAUCUUUUCAAAUCUUUCAUGUACCCUCAUAUCUAUGGGAUCAAAUGGCAGCCUUAUCAAGUAAUUGUUACCAUGUAACAAUAAUUAAGGGAUUGAUGAAAGAAGAAACCCUCAGAAUUGGGCAGGACAACAUGAACCUUAGUCAAAAAUAGUUCCUCAACCUCAAGAAAAGAGGGAGCACCAAUAUUUUGACAUGAGAUUUCAGGCAUGUCUCGCUCAGAUUCUUACUGGUUUCUUCUUCAUCAUACCCAAGGGACUAAUCGAGAUCACAUCACACGAACCAGUUGCCACUAAUCUUUUCAAAUCUUUCAUGUACCCUCAUUUUGAUAGGAUCAAAUGGCAGUCUUAUCACAAGUAAUUGUUACCAUGUAACAAUAAUUAAAGGACUGAUGAAAGAAGCAAUUGUUACCAUGAAUGUUGUUUAGCAGUGUUUCUUGUGAUCGGAGAACCCCUCAGAAAAAUCUUAGGGGUUACUUGAAAGAAGAAAGAUAGAACUAAAAGAAGUAACCCCUUAGAAACCAUGAAAGUUAUGCAGGGUUACUUGUGAUCGAAACCGUAAAAAUCUUAGUGAUCAGAACUUCCGUUUUCUUCCCAUGACGGGCGGUCCUCUCCGGCGAGCUACUCUUUCUCCAAUGUUGGCCAUACUAAACCCUAAACGCUCAAAAAUAUAUAGAAGUAUAGCACCAAAAGAAAAAGAAAUAUAUAUUUUUUUUUUGGUCAAGAAAAGAAAAAUAUAUAUAGAGAAGUAGGGAUCAAUAUAUAUACUGUAAUAUCGAUGAGUAAAGACAAUAGAAACUCACAUCAAUUAGGGUUCUCACAUCCUAUUAUAUGAUUCUGUUAGGAUCAGAAUCCAUUUAUAAAAGGAAAACUAGGAAAUCAAAGGAAAUAAACUAAACAACAUUCAUAUCACUUAUCCAUAUCUAAUAAGAGAAGUUUACAGCCUUUAUAUAUCCUACAAAUCUAAAAUAACUACUCUAAUAACUACCCUAUUUGGACCGAAUGGGCCUUGAGUUUACUACAACAAGUCUGGGCUAGGGGUCAUCAUUUGGCCCGCGGGCCUAAAAGCCCGUGGGCAGCCCAUCGUCCGGAAUGGCCAAAGCUUGGCCGACCCAUAGAAAAGCCCAUCUCGGCCCGGCCCUUAGGGCAUAAGGCCGGGCUAGGGCGGAGGGUUCAAAACCUCGGCCCUGCCUGUUACAUGCCCAUCAAAGCCCGCCCGGCCUGACCCUAAAAAGCCCUUUCAAUUGUUUUAUAAAUAUUUUUAUGGAGUUAUUAGUUAAAUAUGUGAACUAAUUAAUGCAUUAAGUCAUAUUUUAUUUUGAUUUUUUAUUACAUUUAGUUUAAUCAUUAACAAAUCUUAACUUUUUUUUUAUAAUUUUUUUUUUAUUUGAUAAAAUUCUAUUAGAUAUAUGUAUAUAAUAGGCCGACCGGCCUGGCCUAUCUAAAAAGUCCGACUCGACCCAUCUAAAAAAGCCGGCCUGACCUGGCCUAUAAGCCUGUAAGGCCUGGACAUGCGGGUUUUGAUAAUUUUUUAAGUUAGUCCCAUCCUGGCUCGGCUCUAAUAAAAAAUAAAAUAAAUAAAUUAAAUAAAAAAAACAUAAUUGAGGCCCGACCCGAGCCCCUAGCCAGGCGGGCGUUUUUUGAUGAUCAGGCUAUGCCCAGUACAUAAAAAGGCUGUGAAAUACAUCACCUACGUACAUAUGUGAAAGAGGAAUACGAGUUAGUAUCCUAACAGAUUCAGUCACGUUCUCUUCAGUGGGAUUGAGUUGGGCAGUUCUAUCUCAAUUACAGGGAUUUUAACGUACCAAUUAUAUUUAAGGAAACAGAGAGAGUGGUUAAAAAGGGAGAAGGCCCAAGUCCAAGACCCUAGCCCAACUAGAUCCCAGCAGCCGCAAGAAUGGCCGAAAACUAAUCGGAAGAAAGUAGAAACUAAAUAUAUAGUAAUAAAUAAAUUUCCUUUCAGCAGAUGUGCCCUUAAUACUGGAGACAAAGAAAUUUACCGGCACUCUUUAUCAUUACACAAUUAACCAACUGAGAUAUAUAGCACAAAACAUGAAAACUACACGGUGGUCGACGGAUCCGAAAUCCCAUCAUGCAUGAACUUCACUAAUAGUUGAAGCUAGACUUGCUUGCUGUAGCACUCUUCUUAGUGUAGACAGACUUGGUGACCUUGAGCUGUGUUUUGUACUCGGUGGUGUAUCCCUGAGUUUUGUCGACAUACUUGUCUAUCGAGGUGUACUUGGCCUCUUGUUUGUAGCCGGACUGCCCACUGCGGUUGUCCACGAACUCUCCUUCCUUGUAACUUUUAGUGAAGUUACUUGAAGCCCCACAGUACUCGUCGUUGUACGAUGACUUCACCUGGCUUUGCAUUUCGUCGGCGUUGAUGUUUCUCGCCGGAGCAACAGUUAUGAAGCCGCAAUAAGCCUUUUUCGUCAUUCUGUAACUAUAUGAAGACGUGGGUUGUGAUCAUAUGCAAAGAGGGUCUUGUCUUUUAUAUGGUAACAAGUCGGAACAUGGAUAUUAACUAUGAUUUAUGAAGAUGUGGGAAUCAAGAACGUAUAUUGUGAGGAGAGGAGGGGUCUUUUAUCUGUUUGUUUUGAGAACAAAGGUGUAAAUGUCAUUAUCGGUUAUGGUGAAAGAGACCAUCCAACUUUCCCAGUUCUUCAGGUGAGAAAGGAGGGGAAGUUGUUUAACCAAUACUAAUACUAAUGCAUGUCAUACAAGUGUUGUUUUAAGGUUUUACAGUGCAAUGUUUUUUCGUAUACCUAUUUUCAGUUUGUCCUUUAAUGGACUCCUAAAUCUCAAGAAUAAUAAGUACCAUUUAUAGUGCAAACCUAAAGGCUAAAGCUAUGAUUUCUUUAAUUUUUUGAAAUCCUGAAAAAAGUGAAUUAUCAUACUGAACAUAUAUAAGUUCAAUUGUCUGAUAGGAAUUUGCUGCCAGCAGAUAAAGGUAGCGAUCUUUGAAUUGAAACGGCCGGCAUAAAUGCAAAUAUGAUGAUUUAGCAGCUAAUAAGAAUAUAGAGAAACUAUGGUUCGUGCAUGCAGCAACAAAUGAGUUCAAAAACCAAAGCAUGUCUCGACUUUAAUUUUGGUGCUGGCUUUUGCUGGGUCUGUUUUAUCAUUGCUGGGUAUAACCAUUACAAAACAAGGAUGGGUUUGGAAAAUACGUAUAAUCUUUUACGCCUUAGGUGUAUUUAGAUAUUUGUGGGUAUUUAGAAGAACGAAAAGAGAUCGAUGCUGUAGAGCAAGACUAGUUGUAUAACAUUAAGAAAACAUUACUAAGAAAAAAAGGAUUACACAUAGUAAACAAAAGCACGUACGUAACAUAAAUAGAUAUAGAGCAGUGGAUACCAUAGAUCUACUACAGUCUAUUCCCAGGACUCUAACCCAAAGAGACUUCCGUUAAUUCCUUCCCCUACAUCAUUGGAGAUACACUAUUAAUUAACCAUGCCCGCAAUUUGGACAACAGCAUCGGCAGCUGCAACAACAGGUGAAAGAAGAGGUAUGAGCGUUCCGACUCCGAGCACUGGAAGAAUAACAGCAGCUACUGAUGCAGCAGCUGAAAUCCAACGGAAAACCGAAACAAAAGCCCGAAACCACGACAUUGUGACUCAAGGACGACUUCAACUUUACACUCUAGAUUAGUAGACUGAUAGUGAGUCUGAAACUGUAGGAAAGGCUGUUGAAUGUAGGAGGUUUGCGCACUAUAUUUAUAGCAGGUAAUUUAGAUGGGAACCUGUGCAGCUGAGCUCUAUCGGUCUCUUCGUUUAGUGUACCUCUAAUGAACACAUUUAAUUACUUCGAUUCUUUAAAGAUUAACGGCAUGCGCGCGCAUGCGUCUUCAUGCACUGUGUUUUGGAAAUAUGAGACUUUCAUGACAUAAUUACUGCUUCUAGUUUAUUGUGAACGUCAUAAUAUUAUAUUUGUUGCCUUACCCACAGUUUUAUUUCCCAAUUUCCUCUCUUGUUUUUCCAAUUCGCCGGUGAAGAUCAAUUUGGAUUAUUUUCAGAUUUAACAAGAUUGAUUGAUAUCCCUGACGAUGUUUCUAGUUUUCUUUUCCUUUCUCUUACUGGGUUUGUUAUUACUAGCUGAUUUUUAUCGCUGAAAUAGGUUAAUCUCUACACCUCUGCAAGACUGCAACAAACCCAGCAGCACCCUGAUAAGAAUUUCUCUAUUGGGUCUCCUUCUACACCCUGAUGACAACUUUCAACAUUUAAUUUGGUUUUGAUUGAUUUCAAUCCAAAACUUGCUGCGGAUUUCAAUCCCAAUUUUUGUUCGCCUCUUUUGGUCUCAUCAGAGGACGGAGGAGGAAGUUGAUUUCGGUGGGAGAAAAUUUUUUUUCGAUGAAGAAGCCAGUUCUGGGAUUGAUUCACGAGAAAUAAAGAGAAAAUAAAGAAAAAUACUUUUUCAAAAUUAAAAAUAAGAUUAGAGUUAACAGAGUUAUUGUGGUGUUAGGCUAGCGAUGAGAUGUCAAAUUUUAGUUGGUGGCACAGGGUUUUUGGGCAGAGGUGAUGUGCUUCCCCUUAAGAACUAAUUGGAAUAAAUCUUAGCAUCUUACGAGUAGUUAAGACUCAAGAGGCCAACAAAAGGCCAUUUUGCAUUUCUUCUGGGGCUUCUUCUGAAUUUACACCCUGCUCAUAUCCUAUAGAAUGUUCAUUUUGUAACAUUUCACAGUUGUUCACAUCAUCAUAAGUAGUAGUAGUAGUAGUAGUAGUAGUAGUUUAACCUGCUUCAAAUGAUGUUAAUAUAUUAUGCUUCAUUGAUUAAUGAUGUAAUCCAACUUCUAAGAGGUGAUUCUGCAUGCUGAGGUCCUCACUAGACUCGACAGCAAAAUUUGACAGCAAACCUGCAAAAUCAACCAAACCCCAUCAAAAUGUAGUCACUACGCAGAUAGGAAGUUACAUAAAUGUAAGAAUCACUGUGCCAUUACAGAAUCAAACAACCGGGAAACCCUUACCCCCCCCCCCCCCCCCCUUUUCCUAGUCUAGAAAAGCUCAGGUUUAUCUUCCUUUUGUCUGUACAUAAGUUGUGGCUCGUCUUAAAGAUAUUGAAAUGAUCCUCUCAGUAAUGGAGGUAAUCUAGAGCAUGACUCAUAUAUGAAGACCUUAAGGUUACAAUGUCAGGCCAGUUUAUCAUACUAUACCACAGUAAUUGAAAUGCCAACUCCAUGUCUCCCAAAGGAUACAAGGUUUAACACGCAUUGUGCAAUAAAAGAAGAAUAAUGACACCAGGAAAACCCAGCGCACAACUGCACAACUGAAGUUCCAACAUACCAUUCUAUAUUAGUCUAAUAUCUAGGAGAGCUAACUCACUCAAACUUCCUUUCAAAGAGCAGGACCUCUGAUACCAAAUUGUAUUACUAGUUUACCUUAUACGAGUUCUUCCUAAAUUAUCAAGCUAAGUGGCCCGGAGAAAAGUUUUAUCCAUUUUUGAGAUAUUAAUAUACCCAUAUGAUCAAAACCUUAAGUGUGAGUACUGAAAACCCAAGGCCAUCGCCAUGUCUCCAAUAGUAUCCAGCUUUAUCAUACAUCAGAUCUUGCACUGUUCAUUGUUAGAAUGAAUAUCUUUUUCAUGUCUGAAAUUAUAGAAGAAUCAUCUCACCAGUAAAACCUAGCAAGCACAGUUGAAGUUCGUUUAUACCAUUCUAUAUUAAUCUAAUAUCCAGUAGAACUAACAAAGAAACUCAAAUGUCACAAAGAACAGUAUAUGUGCUCUAGGAAGUUGCAUUCACUAGUUUACCUAAUUCGAGUUCUUCCUAAAUGACUAAGUCAAGUGUCGCAGGAAAAAAGUUUUAUUCUUAAAUAAAACCGGUAAUUACAACACCCACAUUGAUUGUAGUUAUGGCUGGAGUUCAGAAAUUUAGUGUAUUCCUGCUCAAGCGGCAGAUGGGCAAUGCAAGUUGAAUGUGAUAUGUUCACUGCUCUGUGCAUUUCAGCUUAUGUUAUUGUUGCCCAGCAUAAAGAUCUCACCUAAUUCAAACCUUACAAGCAGAUACCUCAUCUAAUUUCUCCAACAAAAGAUUUGAAUGCCAUAAUAUCAACUAAAGAACAAUGCAGCUCCGGAUCUACUUCAAGCAUACUUAUAUUCAGCUAACACUACAACUACUCGAUGCAAGAAUAGAAAUGCCGAAAAAUACAACCAUAUUAUCAAUGUAGUGUACCUGAAGCUUGAAGCUCAUCUCAAGACAGGCUUUUGCAGAAGAGCAGUCAAGUAAACCUCCCCAUUCUUCUCAUUCUUACUCGCCGUCGCCCACUUCACUCUCCGGUACCCCAACUUCCCAAUCAACGGCCCGAAAACCUUCUCAAGAUCCACCCCCUUGCUAAAGAAAUGAUCCAACCACAAGUACCCUCCUACCCUCAACACCCUAUCCGCAUCGUACAACAAAAACUCCAACGCCGUCACCGGAAUCCACCUGUUCACCGCGUGCCCGCACCGCACCAGAUCCAACACCCCGUCAAACACGGGGAACCGCUGCUGCAGCGGCACGUGCAGCGGCACCAGCCCCCUCAGCGCCACCGCCUCGUUAUUCGGACUGCCGAAAUUCAUGGUGGUGGUGACAACUGUCACAUUGUAGAGCUUCAUCCUGGCGGCGAAGGUCCCGGUGCCGCCGCCGACGUCCAGCCCGAGGCGGAGGACGGCGCCGGCGGCCUUGGCGAUCUGGAAGAACUGCGGGAUGGGGAGGUCCAGCUCGGACUUGUAGGUCAUGAAGUUGGAGAGCUCGUGGCUGAAGUCGAAGCCGGAGCUGAGGCCACGGCGGUUGAGGCAGCUGAAGCUUUUGCAGGCGUACUUGUCCCAUAUCACAUUCUGAUCCGGGAGAGAGGGAGGGAAAGCGUCGUGGGAGAGCGAUGACGUGGGCUUCUGCGGCGUUCUGGAGAAGCAUCUCCGGCGGGGGAGGGGGUGGCAGCCGCGGAGGAUGAGGCUCUCGGCGACGUCGUCGGCGUCGGCGGGGCAGAGGGAGAAGGGAGUGUAGGUCAUGUACUUGUUGAGGAGGUCGGGGUGGUUGUGGCAGGAGGAGGCGAUCGGGGAGAGGCGGGAGUAGAGGAGGAGGUCGGCGGAGGAGGCGGCGGCGGCGCGUGGGGGAGGAGGGUGGUGGCGCGUGAGGUGGUUGAUGGUGG